Molecule: long non-coding RNA, 939 nt
Organism: Nerophis ophidion (straightnose pipefish)
Lineage: Eukaryota; Metazoa; Chordata; Actinopteri; Syngnathiformes; Syngnathidae
Exons: 3
Source: RefSeq, a predicted model, not a curated record
GCAAACUCGUUCAAACCAUCAGGACCGCAUAGGAGAAGUUACAGAACGUGAGACUGGAGACUGACGUUUACGACAUCGCAACUGGAACGUUCUUAACUCAACUGUGACGUCAUUCCCAUCUUCGACUUCCCACUUCCAAGGGACGGCGUGGCGCAGUGGGAGAGUGGCCGUGCGCAACCCGAGGGUCCCUGGUUCAAAUCCCACCUAGUACCAACCUCGUCACGUCCGUUGUGUCCUGAGCAAGACACUUCACCCUUGCUCCUGAUGAGUGCUGGUUGGCGCCUUGCAUGGCAGCUCCCUCCAUCAGUGUGUGAAUGUGUGUGUGAAUGGGUAAAUGUGGAAGUAAUGUCAAAGCGCUUUGAGUACCUUGAAGGUAGAAAAGCGCUAUACAAGUACAACCCAUUUAUCAUUUAUUUAUUUACUUGCCAUUUACCAUCUGCUGUAAUGUCCUUCCAUCUAUAUACCCUGCCAACUUUAUUUAUAAUUCCCUUUAAAAAACUUCUUAAAGUUGACAGGGCACUUAUUUAUUGGUGUUGUUUGAAGCUAUCUUAGCGGUUUGUUUAGCUCUUGGCAUUCCUGGUCCUGGCUUACUCGGGUGUAACAUGUUUAGCCUCGGCCUCCAGUGAUACUGCUACAUGAUAAUGAUACUUGAUUAUUAAAAACUCAGAGAUGUGGCUCCACACUGUGUAUGGAGACACACACUUAGCUGCCAGCUUGUCAGGACGGAUGGUGUGUUCCAUUGAUAUCGGAAAUUGGAAGUCAGAGCGAGGAAUGAAGUCAAAGCCGGAGUUAUAAGCGUACCAGUUAUGAGGUUGAAAAAGUAGAUGGCCACAUCCAUGGAGGCAAUUCAUGCCUUACCUGAGAACAAACGACUUAUGGAAACACAGUAUAUGCACUGUUUCUGCAACCUUUGAACACAAUAGAUGAAGAUUGACAUUG